UAAAGGACGUCCUGAAAUAUUUUUAUAAUUUUUGAAAUGCUAAAAAUAAUUGUUUAGACUUUAGAGGAGUUAGAGACCCAAGCUGGAGUUUUGAUGAUUGGAUUUAGAUUAGGUUUUUGUAAGUGCCGGAUGGCAUGUGAUGUUGUUGUUGUAGGCCUGAGGCCAUGUGUGUUACUUGUUGCUGAGUUUGCUUACAAGGGUUUAGGUCUAAUUAUAGGGGAGACUUUGCCAGAAUUUCGGUAAGACGUUAGGAUUUUUCUUAUUUAUGGAAAUUAAAUUAAUUGAUAGAGGCCAGUGCAUGAUUGGGCCGACCGUCCGUCUUUUUCUUUUAGCUAGACCAGCUACAGUCGAGUCAACCAGUCUAUGAG
RNAcentral lists this unclassified non-coding RNA (368 nucleotides) under Hevea brasiliensis (rubber tree). The record is from RNAcentral. Lineage: Eukaryota; Viridiplantae; Streptophyta; Magnoliopsida; Malpighiales; Euphorbiaceae.